AAACCUUCAAUCAAUUUAAACAUACAAAUUGUAUUCUAUAUACUAUAUACAAAUGGCUAAUGUCAGUUUUAUCCUGGUGAUGGUGUUAGUAGUGGUGGCGUCUUUGGAUGCAGGAGAGGCGUCGACCUUUCAGUGCGAUGGUCCUAAUGGACACCAGCAAGCAACAAACCUGUGCAGUCCAUUUUCAAGAAGGGGUCAACCAGAGCCGUCUAGUGAGUGCUGCAGAGCGUAUCGAGCAUUCGUUGGACCAGCCGACACCACAGAGGAAAAGAGGCAACUUUGUGCUUGUGUCCAGCGAAAUGCCAGACUUAAUCCAGCCAAUAUUACAAGAGUUGAUUCUCUACCUCACAAAUGUGGAACGCCUGUUGUCUUCUCAGCUGAUCCUAAAUUCGACUGCAAUACGAUAAACUGAGGAGCGCCAAUCACUAUGCAUGGAAAAGCUCGAAGGUCGAGAUUUUAAUAAAUUUUUAUGAAUUAAUAAUAAUCCAUAAAUUUUUAUGGAUUAAUAAUAAGAUUGUACUUGUUAUUGAAUAAAGACCUUGACUCUAUACAUGAUUCAAGGAUGCUAAGAAAUGCAA
Molecule: RNA transcript, 578 nt
Organism: Daucus carota subsp. sativus
Lineage: Eukaryota; Viridiplantae; Streptophyta; Magnoliopsida; Apiales; Apiaceae
Exons: 2
Source: RefSeq, a predicted model, not a curated record